GUAGGGUGCAAGCGUUAAUCGGAAUUACUGGGCGUAAAGCGUGCGCAGGCGGGUUUUGUAAGUCUGACGUGAAAUCCCCGGGGCUCAACCUGGGAAUUGCGUUGGAGACUGCAAGGCUGGAGUCUGGCAGAGGGGGGUAGAAUUCCACGUGUAGCAGUGAAAUGCGUAGAGAUGUGGAGGAACACCGAUGGCGAAGGCAGCCCCCUGGGUCAAGACUGACGCUCAUGCACGAAAGCGUGGGGAGCAAACAGGAUUAGAUACCCUGGUAGUCCACGCCCUAAACGAUGUCUACUAGUUGUCGGGUCUUAAUUGACUUGGUAACGCAGCUAACGCGUGAAGUAGACCGCCUGGGGAGUACGGUCGCAAGAUUA
RNAcentral lists this ribosomal RNA (371 nucleotides) under uncultured organism. RNAcentral's name for it is "partial 16S ribosomal RNA". It matches the Rfam family "Bacterial small subunit ribosomal RNA", at positions 527 to 896 of the family's 1533-position model. The record is from RNAcentral.